GCCCCUAUAGCUUAACCCCAAAGCAUGGCACUGAAGAUGCCAAGAUGGCGCCAACCCGCCUGCGGGCA
RNAcentral lists this transfer RNA (68 nucleotides) under Arborophila rubrirostris (Red-billed partridge). RNAcentral's name for it is "tRNA-Phe". It matches the Rfam family "tRNA". From Rfam's summary of the family: Transfer RNA (tRNA) molecules are approximately 80 nucleotides in length. The record is from RNAcentral. Lineage: Eukaryota; Metazoa; Chordata; Aves; Galliformes; Phasianidae.